UGGGGAAUAUUGCGCAAUGGGCGAAAGUCUGACGCAGCGACACCGCGUGAGGGAUGAAGGUUUUCGGAUCGUAAACCUCUGUCAGAAGGGAAGAAACCGCACUGUGCUAAUCAGCAGUGCCUUUACGGUACCUUCAAAGGAAGCACCGGCUAACUCCGUGCCCGCAGCCGCGGUAAUACGUAGGGUGCAAGAGUUAAUCGGAAUUACUGGGCGUAAAGCGCACGUAGGCUGCUUUGUAAGUCAGGGGUGAAAUCCCACGGCUCAACCGUGGAACUGCCUUUGAGACUGCUUAGCUUGAAUCCGGGAGAGGGUGGCGGAAUUCCAGGUGGAGGAGUGAAAUCCGUAGAUAUCUGGAGGAAAAUCAGUGGCGAAGGCGGCCACCUUGACCGGUAUUGACGCUGAGGUUCGAAAGCGUGGGGAGCAAACAGGAUU
This 432-nucleotide ribosomal RNA is filed under the name uncultured bacterium. Its description in RNAcentral is "bacterial SSU rRNA". It matches the Rfam family "Bacterial small subunit ribosomal RNA", at positions 355 to 779 of the family's 1533-position model. The record is from RNAcentral.